GAUGAACGCUGGCGUCGUGCCUAAUACAUGCAAGUCGAGCGAACAGACGAGGAGCUUGCUCCUCUGACGUUAGCGGCGGACGGGUGAGUAACACGUGGAUAACCUACCUAUAAGACUGGGAUAACUUCGGGAAACCGGAGCUAAUACCGGAUAAUAUAUUGAACCGCAUGGUUCAAUAGUGAAAGACGGUUUUGCUGUCACUUAUAGAUGGAUCCGCGCCGCAUUAGCUAGUUGGUAAGGUAACGGCUUACCAAGGCAACGAUGCGUAGCCGACCUGAGAGGGUGAUAGGCCACACUGGAAAUGAGACACGGUCCAGACUCCUACGGGAGGCAGAAGUAGGGAAUAUUCCGCAAUGGGCGAAAGCCUGACGGAGAAAAGCCGCGUGAGUGAUGAAGGUCUUCGGAUAGUAAAACUCUGUUAUUAGGGAAGAACAAAUGUGUAAGUAAAUAUGCACGUCUUGACGGUACAUAAUCAGAAAGACACGGCUAACUACGUG
Molecule: ribosomal RNA, 497 nt
Filed under: uncultured bacterium
Lineage: Bacteria
Description: partial 16S ribosomal RNA
Rfam family: Bacterial small subunit ribosomal RNA
Source: RNAcentral